UGGUGGGUAGUUUGACUGGGGCGGUCUCCUCCUAAAGAGUAACGGAGGAGCACGAAGGUUGGCUAAUCCUGGUCGGACAUCAGGAGGUUAGUGCAAUGGCAUAAGCCAGCUUGACUGCGAGCGUGACGGCGCGAGCAGGUGCGAAAGCAGGUCAUAGUGAUCCGGUGGUUCUGAAUGGAAGGGCCAUCGCUCAACGGAUAAAAGGUACUCCGGGGAUAACAGGCUGAUACCGCCCAAGAGUUCAUAUCGACGGCGGUGUUUGGCACCUCGAUGUCGGCUCAUCACAUCCUGGGGCUGAAGUAGGUCCCAAGGGUAUGGCUGUUCGCCAUUUAAAGUGGUACGCGAGCUGGGUUUAGAACGUCGUGAGACAGUUCGGUCCCUAUCUGCCGUGGGCGCUGGAGAACUGAGGGGGGCUGCUCCUAGUACGAGAGGACCGGAGUGGACGCAUCACUGGUGUUCG
RNAcentral lists this ribosomal RNA (460 nucleotides) under Escherichia coli. Its description in RNAcentral is "partial 23S ribosomal RNA". It matches the Rfam family "Bacterial large subunit ribosomal RNA", at positions 2259 to 2718 of the family's 2925-position model. The record is from RNAcentral. RNAcentral also lists the same sequence under 3 other names. Lineage: Bacteria; Pseudomonadati; Pseudomonadota; Gammaproteobacteria; Enterobacterales; Enterobacteriaceae.